CACGGUACCUAACGAAUAAGCACCGGCUAACUCCGUGCCAGCAGCCGCGGUAAUACGUGAGGGUGCAAGCGUUACUCGGAAUCACUGGGCGUAAAGGACGCGUAGGCGGAUUAUCAAGUCUUUUGUGAAAUCUAAUGGCUCAACCAUUAAACUGCUUGAGAAACUGAUAAUCUAGAGUGAGGGAGAGGCAGAUGGAAUUGGUGGUGUAGGGGUAAAAUCCGUAGAGAUCACCAGGAAUACCCAUUGCGAAGGCGAUCUGCUGGAACUUAACUGACGCUAAUGCGUGAAAGCGUGGGGAGCAAACAGGAUUAGAUACCCUGGUAGUCCACGCCCUAAACGAUGUAUACUAGUUGUUGCUGUGCUAGUCAUGGCAGUAAUGCACCUAACGGAUUAAGUAUACCGCCUGGGGAGUACGGUCGCAAGAUUAAAACUCAAAGGAAUAGACGGGGACCCGCACAAGCGGUGGAGCCAUGUGGUUUAAUUCGAAGAUACG
This 493-nucleotide ribosomal RNA is filed under the name uncultured Campylobacter sp. RNAcentral describes it as "bacterial SSU rRNA". It matches the Rfam family "Bacterial small subunit ribosomal RNA", at positions 471 to 961 of the family's 1533-position model. Lineage: Bacteria; Pseudomonadati; Campylobacterota; Epsilonproteobacteria; Campylobacterales; Campylobacteraceae. The record is from RNAcentral.